CGUUCGGAGAUAAAGCUCCUCGCCGGC
Molecule: small RNA, 27 nt
Filed under: Bombyx mori (domestic silkworm)
Lineage: Eukaryota; Metazoa; Arthropoda; Insecta; Lepidoptera; Bombycidae
Description: ovarian small RNA-14592
Source: RNAcentral